GUGGGGAAUAUUGGACAAUGGGCGAAAGCCUGAUCCAGCCAUGCCGCGUGUGUGAAGAAGGUCUUCGGAUUGUAAAGCACUUUAAGUUGGGAGGAAGGGCAGUAAGUUAAUACCUUGCUGUUUUGACGUUACCGACAGAAUAAGCACCGGCUAACUUCGUGCCGGCAGCCGCGGUAAUACGAAGGGUGCAAGCGUUAAUCGGAAUUACUGGGCGUAAAGCGCGCGUAGGUGGUUCAGCAAGUUGAAGGUGAAAUCCCCGGGCUCAACCUGGGAACUGCAUCCGAAACUACUGAGCUAGAGUACGGUAGAGGGUAGUGGAAUUUCCUGUGUAGCGGUGAAAUGCAUAGAUAUAGGAAGGAACACCAGUGGCGAAGGCGACUACCUGGACUGAUACUGACACUGAGGUGCGAAAGCGUGGGGAGCAAACAGGAUUAGAAACCCCUGUAGUCC
This 450-nucleotide ribosomal RNA is filed under the name uncultured bacterium. RNAcentral's name for it is "bacterial SSU rRNA". It matches the Rfam family "Bacterial small subunit ribosomal RNA", at positions 354 to 796 of the family's 1533-position model. The record is from RNAcentral.